Molecule: non-coding RNA, 31 nt
Filed under: unclassified sequences
Description: S4-Flavobacteria ribosomal protein leader
Rfam family: S4-Flavobacteria ribosomal protein leader
Source: RNAcentral
UGUCAUCGAAGGAAUGCCUUAAUUCAUGACG